CUUGGUCAUUUAGAGGAAGUAAAAGUCGUAACAAGGUCUCCGUAGGUGAACCUGCGGAGGGAUCAUUACAAGUGACCCCGGUCUAACCACCGGGAUGUUCAUAACCCUUUGUUGUCCGACUCUGUUGCCUCCGGGGCGACCCUGCCUUCGGGCGGGGGCUCCGGGUGGACACUUCAAACUCUUGCGUAACUUUGCAGUCUGAGUAAACUUAAUUAAUAAAUUAAAACUUUUAACAACGGAUCUCUUGGUUCUCGCAUCGAUGAGGAACGCAGCGAAUUGCGAUACGUAGUAUGACUUGCAGACGUGAAUCAUCGAAUCUUUGAACGCACAUUGCGCCUCGAGGCAUUCCUCGAGGCAUGCCUGUUUGAGCGUCGCAUCCCCUCUAACCCCCGGUUAGGCGUUGCUCCGAAAUAUCAACCGCGCUGUCAAACACGUUUACAGCACGACAUUUCGCCCUCAAAUCAGGUAGGACUACCCGCUGAAUUUAAGCAUAUCAAUAAGCGGAGGAAAAGAAACCAACAGGGAUUGCUCUAGUAACGGCGAGUGAAGCAGCAAUAGCUCAAAUUUGAAAUCUGGCGUCUUCGACGUCCGAGUUGUAAUUUGUAGAGGAUGCUUCUGAGUGGCCACCGACCUAAGUUCCUUGGAACAGGACGUCAUAGAGGGUGAGAAUCCCGUAUGCGGUCGGAAAGGCGCUCUAUACGUAGCUCCUUCGACGAGUCGAGUUGUUUGGGAAU
RNAcentral lists this small RNA (734 nucleotides) under uncultured fungus. RNAcentral describes it as "eukaryotic LSU rRNA". The stretch from base 452 to 734 matches the Rfam family "Eukaryotic large subunit ribosomal RNA", at positions 1 to 281 of the family's 3401-position model. The record is from RNAcentral. Lineage: Eukaryota; Fungi.